CCCCCUGUCCCUCCUGUCCCCAACAGGAAGCUCUCUGCUCUGCCUAGGCCAGGCAGGACGGUCCCUGUCACAUCCCGGUGGUGACAAGGACACGGAAACGGCGUCACCUUGGCCGGACUUGGCUCUUUCCUGCCCCGCCGGGGUGGGGACAGCGGGGCUCGGGGUGACACCAGCGACCGCCACAGCCACCACCAGACGGGCCUUGAGAGCUGAGGGGUGGCCCAGCACUGUCCCCACGCUGGGGACACCAUCAGAGGGUGUCCCCAAGCUGGCUGCUGGCUCUGGGAGCAGGCAGGACGUGCCCCGUGGCAGCACUUGGCUCCUGUCCCCUCUCCUCACCCUGACCCUCCCCUGUCCAGCCCCAGGGAGGUGACACCAGGCUCAGCCACCCCAGGGAGGUGACACCAGACUCAGCCACGCUCUCGUCCUUGUCCCCAGGUGGCCCUGUGGCCUCCCAAGCCAUCGCUGUCCCUGUGCCACCACUGCCCGAGGUCACUCCAUCACCCCAGGGCUGGGGACUGUCCCCAGCUCUCAGAAUUGUCACCACGGUGGCUUUGGGGCUGUCCCAGCCCAGGAACCGAAGGGAUUUGGCAGCACCGAGGCCAAACCCCCCUCGGCACGCGGUGACAUCGGUGUCACCUGUCCCCUGCCAGCCCAGCCCAGCCCAGCCCGUCCUCCGGGCACCGCGGCUGCUCCGCCGCUGACUCACGGCACGGCCCCGGGGCCAGCCGGGGGCACGGGGCACCCGCCGGGUGGCACACGGGGACACCAGGGACGCCAGGGACACGGGGGGACACGGGGGGACACGGAGGGACACGGGGGGACACGGGGGGACACCGGUGCCACAGGGGUGACCCCAGCCGGGUGGGAUGGGCAGGACGGGGCUCCCCAGCAGCUCCGCUCCCCCCCCGCGGCCCCAGCGCUUCUUCCUCCUCUUCCUCUCCUUCCUCCUCUUCCUCUCCUUCCUCCUCCCCUGCUCACGGUGGGGACGGAGCCACGCGCGGCCCCGGCACUCCCGGCCCCCAGCUCGGCAUUCCCGCCGGCAAAUCCUGCUGUCCCACCGGGAAAUUCCUCCUUUCCACCAGCAGAUCCCUCUUUCCACCAACAAAUCCUCCUUUUCCACCAUCAAAUCCCCCUUUCCACUGGCAAAUCCUGCUUUUCCACAGGCAGAUCCCUUUUUCCAACUCCAAAUCUCCCUUUUCCACUGGUAAAUCCCCUUUUCCACCAAAAAAAAUCCUCCUUUUCCAAAUCCCCAUUUUCCAAAUCCCCCCUUUCCCAAAUCCCCAUUUUCCAAAUCCCCCCUUUCCCAAAUCCCUUUUUCCAACCCCAAAUCCCCUUCUCCACUGGGAAUUCGCCCUUUUCCACCACCCAGACCCCACUGGCGGCCCCAAACCGAGCUCUCCCCCCCAGGGAAGCUCCGCCGGUGCCUCUGCUCCGGUUCCGCCGCCCCUCGGCCCGUCCCGGUUCCCCCCGGCCCGUCCCGGUUCCCCCCGGUGACCCCAACACCUCCCUCCAACCCCGACCCCGCUCCCGAAGGAUUCCAGGAAUUUCCACCUCCAGCCGCACAUCCCAGACCUCUUCCCAGUCAAAUUUUAAUUCCGAGGGUCCCCAGGGUGGGGUUCCCCAUCCCGGGGGGGCACCGGGAAUCCUCCGGGAUCCCCACCUGCAUCCUGCCGGCGGUCCCGCUGUGUCCGUCCGUCGGGCGUUCGGUUCGGCCGCUCUCUCCUUGCCUCGCACCCAUCCCGCCGGCCCAGCCGGGUUUUUAAGGAGCCUCCCACCCUCUCCUGACGUUCCCAGGGCGUUCCCAGACCGGGCCUUACCUGGGAAAUGCUUCCCUGGAAUUGCAACACCGGGACGGGUCGGAGCGAGCAGGGACCCGCAGCGGCCCCGGCUCCUCCCGGGGGCUGCCGGGGCCCUUCGGGGCUUUGUGGGGGGACGGGACCUGGGUGGGGAUCACCCCGAAAGGUCCCGAGGGCUGCGAGGGCUCCCGGCAGUGGGGAGAGGGCACAGAAUUCCCACCUGGUCCUGCAAAUCCUCCCAUUCCAGCUCCGACCCACCCCGGGCAUGGGGGGNNNNNNNNNNNNNNNNNNNNNNNNNAUGGGGGGAGGAUAAAAUCCUUAAUUUGGGACAAAACCUCAGGUUUGGGGUGGAUAAAAUCCUUAAUUUGGGCCCAAACCACUUCUUCUGGUGGGUGCAAGGGGUUGACACAAGUUUGGAGCAAACAAAAUCCUUAAUUUGGGCCAAAACCCCAGGUUUGGAGUGAAUAAAAUCCUUUAUUUGAGUCCAAAACCACUUGUUCUGAUGAGUGCAAAGGGCUGAAAGAGGUUUGGGAUGAAUAAAAUCCUAAAUUUGAGCCCCA
Long non-coding RNA from Serinus canaria (Common canary), 2359 nucleotides. The record is from Ensembl. Lineage: Eukaryota; Metazoa; Chordata; Aves; Passeriformes; Fringillidae.